Orcinus orca (killer whale) is the source of this 10837-nucleotide long non-coding RNA. RefSeq lists it as uncharacterized. NCBI's taxonomy places the organism in Eukaryota, Metazoa, Chordata, Mammalia, Artiodactyla, Delphinidae. The transcript has 3 exons. The record is from RefSeq and is a predicted model, not a curated record.
UAGUUUCUAUGUAGCAGAAAUAGGAAACAAAUGAAGCAAAACUGCCCAAAGAGGGGAAAUGCCCCGAGGAUGGGUCUCACUCUCACGCGCGCGCACAGACACACACGCAGAGAGCACUCUCACGCUGGGCAAACUCGGGAUCGCGCUACCCUGCCCGAGUUGAAUGAUAGUGUUUGGUUUCUCUCUUGCCAUGUGCAUGUGUAUAAAUGCUGCGGAUUGGCAUCUGUGUAAGUCUUGUCCUGCGUUAUUUCUGCAGCCUAUGCAAAGUGUUGUGUAAUUUAUUGGAGUGCUGUAUAUUGCAAUAGAGGUUCAGGCGCUUUUUGUUGAGCACUUGCGUUUGCAAGCCCGUUAUUUGCUGAAGCCACCUCUUCGUGUCUUUUAUUACUGCCAUUGCCUUAAGCGUACAUUUUAAAAAUGUUUUUCAUUGUUAUAUGGGCAAAGCGAACUCCUGAUCUGUACUUCAGAUACUCUUUUUCCUCGUUACAAAAAGGCUAGUAAUAGCUAAUUAGGGAUUUGGGAUUAAAGAACCUUAAAGCUUUUCUAAGUGUUUACAAGAAGGAAUAAUGUAAACCUGAGCGAAAGGAAAGAACGUUAAUAUUUAUCUCUAACUGAUCUAGAGGUAAUAUACUGACAGAUCAAUAACGUACCGAAGGAUAACGAAAGAGUAUAGUACGCUUUUAGCCAAGGUGAUUGGUGAUUAAAUAAUUUAAAUUAUCUGUGUAUAUUGCAGUUGACUUCGUCAUGCUAAUUAAUGGCUUCUAAUUUGAGGUGUAAACCAUUCCUGUUUACAGUUGAUCACGGGAAGACUUCUUGGAGACUGACGAAAAGAGAAAAAAAUCAAUCUUUCAUAAAUUAGUAUGUAAUUACCGGUUUUAUAUGCUAAAUCAUACAUCUGUCUUUUGCUGAUGAGGAUAAGGGCCUUGUUUUUUAAAAAACGAAUAUGGGUGAAAUUAAUGGAAACAAUGGAAAAAGCCAUUUGUUAGGAAACAAGGACACCAAGUGAUAUUUAUCUCCAGAGGAUUUAAGCACUUUUCAAAAAGACUUGAGAGUUGAUUUUUUUUUUAAGGAUUGCAUUUUAAAGGGAACUAGGAUAGUCGUUCUUUUGUUAACAUUUAACAAAAGAGUCUCCUUAAAAAAUUUAGAUAAUAAACUGCAUUUUACGGACGUGGUCUAAAAAGGUUAUUUAUGGGGAAAGGACCAACAAGCUGCAUUGUGGUUUUCUAGAUUGCUUCCUCAACCCUUGUACCCUCCUAGCUCCUUACAUUCCUAGUGGGAAAUACUUGCUGCAACUGCCUUGGGCUGCAUUGCAAGGCUGCACCGGUGUGAUGCCUUGUACUGAAACAGCCAGAAAUCACCGUACAUGUGAGAAAGAGGAAAAAAACACCUAAACCUAUUUGGAGUAAUAGGAUGUAAAAAUUGCCUUUUAUAACAAUCUUAACCAAAUUUUUUUAAAAAGGGAAGUUACCAUGACUUGUCCUAUUGCUGUAGGGUUAUCAGAGUCAUUGUUAUUUAUUGAAAUGGCUAUCCUUCAAGUACUAAAAAUAUUUGCAUUUUUAAAGACAUUAGUUCUAUUGUAACUAUGAUAGGUAAAGUAGCUUGCUUCUAGAUGGUUAGGUUUGAAAAGAUGGACAUUUAAUAUGCCUUUUUGCAAUUCUGUUUAUUUCCGUGACACAUGCUUUCUAUUUUAUCUUAACUUUUAAAAAAGUAUCAUAUUCUUCAAAUAAUUGUGAUGUUUUUACAUUACGAUGUUCUUCAAAUAAACAGAUUUUUUAGGAACUAAACAUUAUAGUUAGAAUUUUGUGAUUUUUAAAAUGUUUGCAUUAGUCUGAUUCUUACUAAUAGAUGUUUAUCCUUGCUAAGGAAAAGAAACCAAAUUAUGACAUGGAAUAUAAUAUUACUCUGGGUAAAGUUUUCUAUAUAUAUCUUGUGAGUAGUAUGGAAAUAUGGAAAGCUAGUAUGAAUAUCUCAUGUAUGCUUUUCAUUUAGAAGCUUUUCCUAAGUAUGCUACUAGUACUUAGCUCCUAAAAAAUUUUUAAGGAAAAAUUUCCUUCUAAAUUUUCUGAAUAUGAUGUUCCUGUCAUUUUGACUAACCUUUGACAAUGUUUAUAGUUUCUUUUUCAAAGACCUAAUUUGAAGAUAGUUGUGAGCCUGCCUUUGAACUAAUUUAUAGCUAUCAGUCUGUUAUAAGAAAAUGUAGGUUACCUGCUAAAAAUUAAAACUUCUUUUCAGCCAAAUAAAUUAUUUGUUUUUAACAAUAGAUGUUAAUUUGAAUUCUACUUAGUUCUUCAAAUGUGACAAAUACUCCUUUAUAACAUUUUAAUUUCUUUAAACAUAAAACAUUUCUGGAAUCUGACAUCAUCAGUUAACUAUAGGGUUUAUUAUGUCAUGUAUUGUGCAUGUGUACACAAAAAGUCAGCACAUAUCAAAUAGGAAGAAAAUCUUACUUUGAAGUCCUAAAUUUUAGUUCCCAGGGCAGUGGCAUUCUCAGCUAACUUUUGCACAUAAGGAUAGUUCAAAUUUCAUCUAUAUCCAUUUCUAUUUGUUUAUUUUAACUUUUUCAUGGACUUCAAAAAUAAAAUGUCAAUUUUAAAAGAUUUUCAUACCUUUUUUUUUUAUAAGAAGGCUAAAAAAAUAGUAAAAGUUUGGAAAGCCAACAACUACUGUUUUUGUAUAAUACAGUGUCUAGGAGAUUACAAACUUCGUGAAAUGUAAAAGCUCCUGUGCAAUUCAUUGCUUCACUUGGCAACACAUGAAACAAGAUAAACAUUUAACAGAAAGUCUGUCUUGAUUGUGAUAAGUUACUAUUCUAAUGAAAUAAUCAAAUGCUGCCAUUCAAGUUGUUUCUGGAACAAGAUGGGAUAGUUUAUAAAUAAAAAGAUUCAACCACAUUUAUGAAAUUUAGUUUGCUCCCACUAGUAUGGUGAACUCAAAAAAACUUUACAAUUACAAUUUUUAAGAUUAUAUAUUAAAUCUUUUGUGUGUGUGAUAUUAUGCUUUUUUUUUAAUAGCAAAAGCUUUGUCCUAUAAAGUGUAGAAAUGGAAAAGUAGAAAACACUCUUCUUCAAAAACCACAUUCUUUUUUAAUCCUCAUCUGCCCUAACAACAAAAUACAAUUGUCAAAAGAGUGUUGUUUUACACACCACUUUCCUCCUUCUGGAUUGCUCCCCAAUAUUGGUUUUGUCCAUGUUGGUCUGACUUUCUCCCUCUCAACACACAUAUUCUUCUUCCUUCACAAAGCUUGAAUAUAUAUCAGAUUUGAACCAUGUAAGUAGAUAUACUAUUUGGCUGCUACAGAAAGAAUAGAGAGAACCAACUUCAGUAAGCCAACUCAUUAUUUAACACUUUGUAUUGUCUCCCUUAUAUCUCACUGAGAAACCUUUUAAUCUGUAACAAAGAUUAGCUGGUUAUCAACAAUCAUAUAAUCCCUUAACUUAUUUAAAUGUUAUUAGUAAUUUACCACUCAACUUUUUUUCCUCCAAAUUAAAUUAUUCUAGUAGCUUAGAUUUUUAAAUGUCUUAGUUUGCAUGAUAAGGAGAAAUACAUAUCUUCGUUGAAAAAAAAACAUGUAUAUAUAGACACACACAUACACACCCAUCACUUCAUGAGUUCACAGUACGGCUACAAAGAUUAAAGGAGAAAAACAAUUUUAGAACACAUUCCCCCAAGAUUUGGAGCAACACGGUGGAUGAAGUAGAAAGAGCUGUUCCGGAUGGCAGGAAACUUAAAGGAGAAGUCUGUAGGCAUGUUCUAUUAUAUGAUGAUGUCUAAUGGAUUGAGAGUGGGCUUUAUCGAACAGGGAACAGUGGAAGAAGUGAAGGUAGACUCAGGAGAAGGGAUGCAGAGACUUGAAAAGUUGCUAGUGGUGGUGUAUUAAAUAAAACAUAUAUGAUCAAUGUGAUUCUAAGAUGGAAUUUGAGGACAGAAAGUGUAGCCACUUGCAUUCAUAUGUACCUGAAUUCAUAAACUUUGAGAACCCCCAAGAAGAAAAAUUAUUUUAUUCAUGGAAAGGGAGAAGUUUGUCUGUCGAGUUAGUGAGGAACUUCUACAUAAUCAGAAUCAAGGACACCAAAGCAGACACUGUUGGUGAAGAAAGAGAAUGGUUGUUUAAAAGAAUAAGAUCUGACCACCAGAGUGCCCACAAGGCUGCCUUGAGAUUCAAAUAUGAGAAUAAGACGUACAAAAAGUAAGAUCCAACUCAAAAUUGAGAAUGAAGCCAAUUUAGAUUUAAGCUGACUUUGUAAUCAAAAAUGGUGUUUCCAUUUUCUAAAUUCCUAUAGAAAGGCAUGUCUCAUUAUACCACCUUAUUUGUAAAUUGCCUUCAUUUAUAUAUAUAUGUAUAUACGUAUACGUAUAUAUGCAUAUAUACACACAUACUUGGCAAAGAUCCCCUUGACUCAUGCAUCUGUUGCUUUAUUUCCUUCAAUGGAUAUAAUCAUACCUAUUUGUUGAAAUGGUGAUUAGCUAACUAGCCCAAAGAAUGAGUUCUGUUACACAUUUAUAAAAUUAAAAAUAAUAUUGAUACCAAGUAGAUCUUUCAAAUGAGAUGUGUGUGUUAAAAAUUUAAGAGAAAAAAGAGAACCUUUGAAUAUGAUUUUGAGAUUACACCUACAAAUUCCAUUGCAUUCAAAGUUUUCAUGCUUACAUUUGAACACGUACAAAUAAAGGUGCAUAUUAAGUGGUUAUAGUGGAAUUUUUCAUGCUUAUCCAAACUUCCAACUGACAGUGAUUUAUAGAAAAACUAAUAUAGCCUUUAAAUGGAAUCUCCUGGUAAGAACAUAUGUAUUAUUUCCUCUCAACAGUUAUUAGAAGUGUUGUCACUGAAUAUCAUUAAGAAACAUCUUUCUUAAGAAUAUUGAGUAAGUGGUAUCAUAUGAGAACGAAGAAAUAUGUUGCCUUUUUGUCUUACCAUCCUCACUUCUCUGGUUUGCACAUGUUACACUUUAUACUUGUUUUGUCAUUCAUUGUUUUGGGGUUUGGGGUAAGUGUAUGUAUAAGAGUUUCACCUUUCCCUGCUUCCUCACCUUUUCAGUUUUUUCAGCAUCUCUAUAAAAUUUUCCUUCUCUUCCAUCAUUGAAACUUUCGUUCUAAUGGUAAACCAAAUAUAGGAAUUAAGAUAUAUAAUUAAUUUGGAUAUACCCUAAAAGCUCUAAAAAUAUGAAGAUGAAUCUAUUCUUCGUUUCUUAUAGUUGAAACUGUUGCACACUAAAAUCUUCCACCUCUCUUAUUUUCAGCCUCCUGGUUAUUUUACAAAAGACUAGAGAAACAAUUUACACACCUGGUGUGAAAAGGAGGGAAGAAAAAGCCUUCCUUUACUUUUUCAUAAGGAAAGAAACAAAGUGCCAAGCAGUAAGCAUUUUCUGUUUGUGAAGUAUAUAUACAAUUUUGUGUUACAAAAUUUUUCCUAUUUCUGUAUUUUUUGCCAAAGUCAAGCUUGUGAAGUUUCCAGUCUAAUAGUGACUGAAGAGGACUGCCAUUGACUCGAAGCACUCUCUGGUGCUGCAUAACUUCACCUCUUUGAAAUAUUUAGGUCAGAAAUUCACUUCAUUUUCAGAGCCAGGUCCCAUCAUGCCCAUAAAAAUGUUCGAAAAAGAAAUCCGGGAUGAACACACAAUGGCAAAUUUCCAUGGCACAACAACGUAUCCUCAUUGCAGCAUUCUGUGCAUCAGCUGAAGAAUCAUCAUUUAAACACUGGCUUACAGCUUGACCCUCAUUGUGUACUUUUAGUCCAACACAUGGAGAUGCCCUGUUCACUAGAGGCUGACAGUAGAGAUGAGAGCUAAUCUGAAGCAGCUGAGACCCCCACUGAUGGCUACACCUGGAAAGCAGAGGUUUCUGUGAUAGUCUGGCCAAUCUCCAGAUAUUAUCAGUUAUUAAAACCUGACUUUAUUUAGCAGCAAUAACAAUUUAUUGAAUGGACUACAAGAGAUAUGAAUCAAUGGCUAUACAUACCAUUCAGAUUUUAACUACAAGGAAUUCACAUUCCUGAAAUAAAAACGAACAGCACUUAUAGACUGUUUUUGUGUUUUAACCUAAUUGCUUUUAGUAUAAAAGAUUCAUAUUUGAUGAAUACUAGCAGGAUUAAAUUCCACUGUUAUUUUUAGUAAUACAAAAUAACAUAAAAUUUUAUGAAAUAAUCAAGGGUGAUAUAGAUUAAUGUGAAAGCAUUUUUGGAAACACCUUUUGAAAUGAGUGUAUGAUUUCCAUCUUUUUUAAAAGUUUAACUAAUUUCUGACAGAUUAGUUUCAGUUCUACAAUAUAAACUAUGAAGAGAUUUGAGUCAAGAAGAUCUCAAGUCAAAAUUAGAUUGAAAAUUUACAAACCUAGGGUCAAGAAUUGCGUUGAUGCCAAAAAUCUGUAUAGUGCUGCAGGAUACAUACAUAUAUUAUCAUUCUUUAAAAAUUUGAUUCUUUUUAACUAAUGUAUUUAUGUAUCAACACAUUAAUGUUUGAAGUCUAGAAAUCAAGUCUCCUUAACUCGGGAGAAGUUUUUAAACCUCUUUGUGGUGGAAAAAUAUCAAACAUUCCAAAAAAGUAUAGAAAAUGGCAGUAUGAUCCCCAGGUACCAGAUUCCCAGCAUUCAUAAUUAUCCACAUUUGGACAAUCCUCUACUAUCUAUCCUCCAGCCACCCCCUUUCCUGCUUUAAAGUAAAUGCCAUCAUUACACCUGUAAAUAAUUUGGUAUGUAGUCUAGAAACAAAUUCUGACUAGCUUAAUUCUUUCAUUGAUUGAUUCAUUCAUUUAUUUACCACCUCAUAUUUUAAACAUUUGUAGAACAUCUACCAUAUUCUAGAUGCCAUAUUAAGCCCUGGAAAUUGAUUGGCUGGAUAUGGUCAUUUGGGACCAUUUCUAAGAAGUUCUCUUAUAACUGGAAAUGUAUGCUGUUAAGAAAUCAGAUCAUACCAUUCAACUGCUUAAACCCCAUCCAAUGAUGUAUCAUGAACUCCUGGACAACCCUUAACAUGACAUGUGUGAUCUCUCAUAAUCUAACCCCCUCAACCUGUCCACACUCACCUUUACCCACUGGACCAGGAAUACUCUAAACUCCUGUAUGAAAAUAUUUUCCCCAAUAUGCCUUUCUUUCAUUUUCUUGUACAUGCUGGUCCCUCUUUCUGGAAUCUUGAUCUCAAAAUGAGACCAAUUGUGACGCAGUUUUCAAGACACCCCCAAUCAUCACUUCUUUGAGUAACCCUGUAUACCUCUCCUCCAAGAAAACAAACCUCUAGGUGUUCAUCCUCUAUUGUAGCACAGAAAGUCUUCUGUGUGUCGCUAUUGUAGCACAGCUUUCAGGUAUAUCAUAGUUUUAUGUUGCUCUGACUAGACUAAGAAUUUUUAGGACAGGCCCUGAAUUUUGGAUUUCUGUAUCCCCAUUAUAUGCAACAAUCAGAAUAUACAACAGGUACUUAAUAAAUUCAGUGGUUUUUUUCUUGGAAUGUGUUUAUCAGAUAAACAAACUAUGGUCAUUUCUGGAGGUAUAUUAAGAUGGAUCCCAACAAUGACCCCAGUUCACCAUGACUUCACAGGGCUAGCAGAGGCCCAUGGAACCACUGAUAGUUUUCCCACUGAAAGGAAGCAAACAAAAUAGGUGCUGUAUUUAAAGAAACACCAGAAUAUCAUGUGAUAUUUGGAUAUCAGCUCUGCCCUUUCAGAAUGUUUAGUACAGUAUUACUUGAAUGUAAAAUGAAGGGAUAAAAUGGUCACUAAAAGAAGGUCACACAAUACGAAAAUAAUGACAAAAAGAAAAAAGAAAACAAAAACCUAACCUAAAGUGAAUGACUUUAGGUCAUUCCCCUCCUUGCCACUUAACUUUAACUUGUCUUUUUUAGUACAUUUUUCUUACGCAUCUUUUGUCUCCAGCUUAUAUCUUGUGCCCUAAAGAAUCAGAUGGAAAACAAACAUACAUGUAAAUAAGAUAUCAAAUAAAUGGAAUAGUGCAUCAGCAGGGCCCCUAUAGCAAAUGGAAAAGAGGGUCUGUGUUACUACAUCCAUAAUUAUGGCAAUGCCACAUGUAGGAUCACUGAAUUUUAGAGCUGGAAGGACCCUAGAGAUUAUCUAGUCCAAAUACCUUUUCAAAGAUUAAAUGAUUUAUCCAAACUCACACCCUCCUUUUCAAAUUUCAGUCAGCCUUGCAAUCUUUCUGAGGUUAUUGGUGAAAGGGUAGGAUAACUGAAUAGCGAAAAGAGAAUAAUUUAGCAUGGAGGAGUCAACAUGAUUUCUGCACUAGAAGUGAUGUUUGUUGGUUUUACUAGAGUUGUUUGAGGGGAUAAAUAAGCGUGACUAAGGAGAUUUAAAGAGAAAAUUGAUAUUUAAACUUUCAAAAAGCCUUGUGACAAGUUCCUAUAUCAGACUAUUUAAACAACCCCCAUAAGAAAUUGGCUUGGAGAGAAAUAAGGAGAAAUUUGAGAGUUAAUAUCAUUGAUAAAAAAAUCAAGUCCUAUUUCUGGCUUUUACUGAGUGUUGUUGGCAAAUUAUUUUGCCUCACUUAUCAUCAUUUUCCCACAAAUAAUAUAUGAAAAGUGAUUUCACUUAACUCACUGAGCUACUGUGAGGAUUGAAUGAGAUAAUAAUACUGUUUAUAACAAAAGCUAACCUAUAUUAAGUACAAUUUCUUAAGUAAUAACAAAUUUUAUUUCACUUAGCACUCACAAGGAAAAUACCGUUGUUAUCUUAUCACUUUAAAGAUGAGAGAACUGAGGCACAGAGUAAAGAAGUAACUUGUCCUGAGUCCUGAAGCUAAUUAUUGGUAAAGCCGGGAAUUGAACCCAGGAAGGCUGGUUCUAGAGUGCUUACUCUUAGCCAGUCUCCUGCCUCUUGUGCUAUUAGUAUGCACAAAUCCCUUUUCACGCACAGCCUAGGUACGUAAUAAGGGCUUAGUAAGUUUAGUUAUUACUAUUUUUAUACUUUAUCAGAUGGAAGAAGAAAAGGAGGCCUAAUAUUGACUGAAGACCUACUUUAAGUGUAAUGCAUUCUCUUUACAACCAGCCUGGGAGGCCAUAGAUGCCCAUAGAGGUAUCAUGGUUCAACCAGUCAGAACUGGGAUUCGGGGGGACGUUGGUCUUGUUCCAAAGCCCAUGUUCUUUUUACUACAUUCCAGCCUGUACUGUUACUUGUUAUUCCUCUUGUACCAAAAACACACUUAGGUGUAUGGGUAGGUAUGUACCCAAGAUGUAAGGCACAUAUACACAUAAAAUCAAUGUUUUAUUUGACUUACAGGUGAGUAAAUUUUAGUAAGGAAGAAACAAAGAGUAGCAAAGGAAGAAUUUAGUAAGUUUCUGAAGAGCAGACCUAAUGGCUGCUGUCCCCAGAGUCAACACUGGAGCUAGUCAAGUUUUAUUUUUAGAGCGUGAUGGGGCAUACAAAUACACAUAAAAAUUGAUUAAUUUUCAGUUGAUAGUAAGCUUUUAUGGGGAGAAAAGGGCCAAGCCAAUGAUAUCAAAUGGCAGGAUCCUAAAAUGGACUACUAGACGGGGAUCUAUUGUCAUUUUAGGUUAUUCCCUGUAAAACAUUGUCCAAAAGAGCUUUUGUACCAAACACUCAUGCAAAGUGCUGCAAGGAAGAGUAUCAGAAAGCAUUAUCCAUGGUACUGCAUGUCGGCAUUAGAAAUAUUGUGUGGUUCUAGUCGCCAUACCUCAAGGAAGACAUAAGGCCAUAAGGUUAGAAACCAUCUAAAGAAAGAUAAUUAAAAUGACAUAAAGAUACAGAAAAUUUGCUGCGAGAAAAUCGACUAAAAAUAUUAAUACCUUUGAAAACUGAAAAGGGACAUAAUAUAAUAAAGUCAGGAUGAAAAUGAGUAGUAUGAACACAAACUUAUUCAACAAUUCUAGAAUUCCAGAACCAGCAAGUACCUUGUUGCUGUUGUUAACCCCUGAAUUCUUCAGAAUGAAUCUCCCAAGUGAAAGGGAAUCUCCUGCAGGAUCACAUGUAUUAAUCGCACUUAGGAAAUUUAACAUUAGUACUAUAAUAUAGCAUAAUACACACACAUAUCCAGAUUUCUCCAAUUGUCCCAAUAAUCUUCUUUAUAGCUUGCCCGUCUUCCCUCCCUGCCUCCCUUUCUUCCCUCCUUUCUCUUUUUUUUUUGAUCUAGAGUCCAAUCAGAUAUCUCACAUUGCAUUUAUGUAAUGUAAUACUCAACUCUCCUCUAAUCUGGAACAGUCACUAACGCCAUUACCCCCAACCCCUGGCAACCACUGAUCUUUUUACUGCUUCCAUUGUUUUGACUGUCCUAGACUGUCAUAUAGUCAGAAGCAUACAGUAUGUAGCUUUUACAGGUUGGCUUCUUUCACUUAGUAAAUAUGUACUUAAGGUUCCUGCAUGUCUUUUUGUGGCUUGAUAUUUCAUUUUUUAAAAACACUGAAUAAUAGUCUAUUAACUGGAUGUACCACAAUUUAUUUAUCUAUUCACCUACUGAAGGACAUCUUGGUUGCUUCCAAGUUUUGACAAUUAUGAAUAAAGCUGCUACAAACAUCUGUGUGCCUACUCUUGUGUGGAAAUAGGUUUUCAAAUUUUUUGAUUAAUUUUGAGUGCAAUGACAGGAUCAUAUAAUAAGAGUAUAUUUAGUUUUGUAAGACACCUUCAAACUGUCUUCCAAAGUGGCUGUACCAUUUUGCAUUCUCAGUAUCAAUGAAUGAGAGUCCCUGUUUCCCCACAUCCUCACCAGCAUUUGGCGUUCUUAGUGUUCUGGAUUUUGGCCAUGCUAAUAGAUUUAUAGUGGUAUCUCAUUGUUGUUCUAAUUUUCAUCUACUUGAUGACUUAUAAUGUUGAGCAUUUUUUCAUAUGCUUAUCUGUCAUCUAUAUAUCUUCUUUGGCGAGGUGUCCGUUAAGGUCUUUGGCCCUUUAAUUGG